Molecule: ribosomal RNA, 230 nt
Filed under: uncultured bacterium
Lineage: Bacteria
Description: partial 16S ribosomal RNA
Rfam family: Bacterial small subunit ribosomal RNA
Source: RNAcentral
AAAGCGUGCGCAGGCGGUUUUGUAAGACUGUCGUGAAAUCCCCGGGCUCAACCUGGGAAUGGCGAUGGUGACUGCAAGGCUAGAGUUUGGCAGAGGGGGGGUAGAAUUCCACGUGUAGCAGUGAAAUGCGUAGAUAUGUGGAGGAACACCGAUGGCGAAGGCAGCCCCCUGGGUCAAAACUGACGCUCAUGCACGAAAGCGUGGGGAGCAAACAGGAUUAGAUACCCUGU